AUUAUUUGAUAUGUUAUGAAGAAAUGUUAUUAAGUAUGAUAAUUUUCACACUAAUUAUAUCAAGGCUGAUCAUAAUAUUGUUUUCAUUAUUUAUUUAUGAAAAUGAUAUUGUGGUAUUCACGUCGGAGGAGGAAGUAAUUAUAGCUAAUGUCGACGCUGACGAAUAGAAGAAUUUGACAGAGAAGUCAGUGCGGUAAAAUCUUUUUAUUUGACGAAUACAAUAAUGUUUUUUUAAAUUGUAUUUUUUUCAUUAAGAGUCCACUUUUAUUAUUUAUCCUGACCAUCUAAAAUGUUAAGACAGGCUCUGUCAAACCUUAUCUCACAGGUUGGUUAUAUGAAUCAAAUUUUGUCAUAAUGUUCUAUCUAAGAUCACACUUUUAUCUAAAUUGUUAAUCUUGAGAUCUUU
RNAcentral lists this long non-coding RNA (406 nucleotides) under Lathyrus oleraceus (garden pea). RNAcentral's name for it is "Pisum sativum (pea) long non-coding RNA (PSAT_LNC015291)". The record is from RNAcentral. Lineage: Eukaryota; Viridiplantae; Streptophyta; Magnoliopsida; Fabales; Fabaceae.